RNAcentral lists this ribosomal RNA (342 nucleotides) under Triticum aestivum (bread wheat). RNAcentral describes it as "partial small subunit ribosomal RNA". The record is from RNAcentral. Lineage: Eukaryota; Viridiplantae; Streptophyta; Magnoliopsida; Poales; Poaceae.
AUGCACAAUGGGCUCUGGCUUCGUUCCAUGCAAGAAUGCAAGCCCACGAGCUACCUCAAAAAUAAUUUGGAAGCGCAGAAACCAAUGGAGUGGUUGGCGCCCUUCGUUGUCAAUAAGUUGAUCUUCCAGACUUCCAUUCUCCAUGUAUUCAUAUACAAGACAUCCAAUUUCAGGACAAAACCCAAGCAACAAAACCAGGUGGGGAUGGUGAAGUCGGCUGAGAAUAUCAAUCUGCAUCAUGUGGAAAAAAUCAUAGCAUUUAAUAAAUACCCCAUCGAUGAUAAAAAUAUGUUAAAUCAAAUUACGUUCACCCCCUGUUUACGGGUAUUAACAACACAGUAG